ACGAACGCUGGCGGCGUGCUUAACACAUGCAAGUCGCACGGAAAGGCCCUGCUUGCAGGGUACUCGAGUGGCGAACGGGUGAGUAACACGUGGGUGAUCUGCCCUGCACUUCGGGAUAAGCUUGGGAAACUGGGUCUAAUACCGGAUAGGAGCCAUCUUUAGUGUGGUGGUUGGAAAGUUUUUUCGGUGUAGGAUGAGCUCGCGGCCUAUCAGCUUGUUGGUGGGGUAAUGGCCUACCAAGGCGGCGACGGGUAGCCGGCCUGAGAGGGUGUACGGCCACAUUGGGACUGAGAUACGGCCCAGACUCCUACGGGAGGCAGCAGUGGGGAAUAUUGCACAAUGGGCGCAAGCCUGAUGCAGCGACGCCGCGUGGGGGAUGAAGGCCUUCGGGUUGUAAACUCCUUUCGCUAGGGACGAAGCUUUUUGUGACGGUACCUAGAUAAGAAGCACCGGCUAACUACGUG
RNAcentral lists this ribosomal RNA (464 nucleotides) under uncultured bacterium. RNAcentral describes it as "partial 16S ribosomal RNA". It matches the Rfam family "Bacterial small subunit ribosomal RNA", at positions 29 to 507 of the family's 1533-position model. The record is from RNAcentral.